UACGGAGGGAGCUAGCGUUGUUCGGAAUUACUGGGCGUAAAGCGCACGUAGGCGGCUUUGUAAGUUAGAGGUGAAAGCCUGGUGCUCAACACCAGAACUGCCUUUAAGACUGCAUCGCUUGAAUCAUGGAGAGGCGGGUGGAAUUCCGAGUGUAGAGGUGAAAUUCGUAGAUAUUCGGAAGAACACCAGUGGCGAAGGCGGCCCGCUGGACAUGUAUUGACGCUGAGGCACGAAAGCGUGGGGAGCAAACAGG
RNAcentral lists this ribosomal RNA (253 nucleotides) under uncultured bacterium. RNAcentral's name for it is "partial 16S ribosomal RNA". It matches the Rfam family "Bacterial small subunit ribosomal RNA", at positions 524 to 776 of the family's 1533-position model. The record is from RNAcentral.